UUAGAAUUAGAGAAAGCUAGACUCUGCUGUUAUAGAUUGACAGAGAUAUGUCAGGAAGCGAUCAACCCAGAACAGUGAAGUUAUUGUGCCCGUCACUGUCGAAGAUAGUGGCAUUCUCGGCAUGGGAUGACCAGAAACUGGACUUGGGAUUGAUAGCCAGGGCCUUGGGGCUAGAACCAUCAACGUUGAAGCUCAAUGGUCACUUCAUCAGCAGAGGUGUUGAUCUUGUAUCCUCCUCUGUCACGUGGAGAUCGCUUCUCAAGUUCUUCUCUGCUAAGGGGUUAUCCACUGGUAAAGACGAUAAAGAUGCUCUUAUUGUCCAUGGCAAGCUCUGCAAAUCUGGGAGUAAGCGAACACACGAUCCUCAAGAUGCAGCGCCUGCUAGUAGAGUUAAUUACAGAACUGAAACAGAGGAAGUUAGUACAGGGCCACAGCCUGAACAUGUCAUUAACUUCCUCAUGAAUAAGAAGUUAAAGGAAAACAAUUCAGGUAAAAGUCUGAAGUUUUUGUCAUUGCAUGAGAUGGUGGUUCGCUGUAAUUGACUAUUGUAUGGUUCUCCAGGAUGUCACCAAUUGUCCAAAUGCAAUGGUCUUGGUUUCAAGAGGAAACAAUUGUUGGAAGACGUCAAUUCAUUCAAGAAGUUAAAGAUAAAUGAAGCCAACUCAGGUAUUUCGCAUAUAAACUUCAUCCUGCAACUUGGAUGCUUAAGAACUUUAUGAACAUGUGGGUAUGAGAUUAAUAAUCCUGAUUUCUAGCUGGUGUUGCAAUUGGCUUUGCUCAUUUUGGUUUUUGCCUUUAUCAAAUAUGAAUGUUUUUGCAACACUCUUUCUGUUCAAGGCUACUUUCCUGAUGUGAAGGUCAAGCGAUAGCUUAGCAUUAAGAAUGACACAUUUUUGUGGGCCAUUUUCCAGGACUUGGAGAAAAGAGGAAAUAACUACCCCAGCAUCGUUUCAAGCAGCAAAUUGAAAUGCAGCUACAUGAGCGGCAAUGUGAAACGGAUGAGAGAAGAUGAGGUGAUCCUGGCUGCUCCUUGCAAAAGAAUCAGAUGAAAUUUCCAUUACUUACAGUUUCUUUGCUACCUUUUAUUGAAAAUGGGAAUUUUUCUUGAUAAACACACGUUGGUUUCCAGUUCAUCAGAUCCCAAAUUUGUAAAUGAUAAACAUUACAAGAGGAGGGAGCAAACUGAAUUUUGUAAAUCUUGUAUGCAAUUAUUAAAGAAACCACAUUGUGAUUGGCUUGUGAAUUGUGAUAUUGAAUGUGGACUAUGGAGAUCAUUUACUAAGACAAAUGGAUUUCAAAAAGGUUUACUAACAUCCAAAUGAUACAAAAUUGGCUACAAAUGAAUGUCACUUGAUUUGAUGGCAGAAACAAUCCUUUUACUAAUCCCUAACUCGAGUAUGCUUCCUUCUCUAAUGUAUUGCACACUAAAGUUCUUAAUUCAGUAAUUGAAGAUGUCAUCCAAAAUAGUAUUGCCAAGCAACAGCUAACACAGCUACUAAAAAGACUUUCAACAGCAAUUUAGAACUAAUCAAGGAUGAUGAAUUAGAUGGUGACUGAGGAGUUUCCUGUGGUCUUCCUCUUAGCUUAGCAGAUAACUUUGAAAGCAGCCCAGAAAGCGGAGUGGUUUUGCCAGCUACAAGCAGAACAACAAAAAGUAGAGAUCAAAAGCAGCAUUGAUGAGGAAGUCAAACUAACUAAAAAGCAGCAAGAAAGCGAAAUACAAUGGAUCGACUCAAAACAAAUAACCAAGAUUGUCAAGAAAACAAUCAAUGGCCGUCAAUAUGAGUAAUUUUUCCUCCCUCAAAACAAACAAGCAUUUUUACAAGUAAAUAAUUGCUAACUAACGUGAUAGCUUAAUCAUUGAAUAAAUUAGCAUUUAAUCAAAUAAUUUAAAAAUUGCAUAUUAUCAGCAACAUCAAUAUUAUAAAUCUUGAAUUAAUCCAUGAGAAGGCUGCUCAUGUAUCAUUAUAAUAACUGUUUUCACCAUGAAGCAAUUUCAACCUGAUCAAAGAGAUAAAGUUACCUUUGCUUUUAAGAAGCCUUUCCUCCUCAUCCACACGCCUUCGAAGAACAUUUAGCAAUGAUCCAAAAUACAAUGCAAAUACAGUGCAUGUGAUUGUGAUGACAUUGUAUGGCAUGCUAAAAUCAGGAGUUGUCAACGGCACAAGUAAUACUUCUGUAUAAGAGAGAACAGGAUUUUUUUCCUGAAAUUUUGACAACAUAGGUGACUUGUCCACAGAACAAUUGCCAGGAAAAAGCAAGCUGGUAUAAAAGUUGGGAAAGCUUAUUGCAGCUGAUGGAAUAUCAAAUCCUUGAUUAGCAUCUGGAGGAUAUUCAUCGAUGUGUAGGAAACCCUUAUCAAACUCUAAUGUUAAAGCAGCUGAUUUCACAUCACAAGGAAAUUGCAAAACCAUCUCCAUGACUCCAGGUGAUAUCUUGUCUUUGGAAGGUGAAACGUGAAUCGUCUCUAUAACAUCUCCAACUGCCUUUGGUUGGCCAUUCACAAACAACUGAAGAGUAUGAUAAUAUACCUUAACAUACCAAGGUACAACUUGGAAAACAUCAACUCGGAAUUUAUAUCCAUUACUACUGCUACAAGUACCCAAGGAGGCAUCAUUUAAGUCUGCAGAUUUCAACAGGAUAGCAAUUGCACCCCUUUCAUUCCCACUUCCCAUCAAGAACCUACUAGCAUGUAACGGUGCUGGUUCAGAUGACCACGUUACAGGAAAUUUCCAUUUAAGGCCUAGAUCAAAAGGCUGAGAGUCACUGUAUUUAUCGAUGGAAAACUCAAAAAGGACUGAAGAGCCCCUUCUGUGACUGCUAUUCUCUUCUUCAAACACCUUGUCUGGUCUAACUGACAAUUCAAACCCAGUUCCACUCCAAAACCCUUCAGAAGCUAUAUUGCCAACCCCAUUAUUCUUGUUUUUCUUUAGUUCGGCAACUAGACCUCUCUCAAGCUGAAGGUAUACAUUACUAGACUUUGCAAGAACACAUCUUCCACUGACUUUCCUUCCAAAUAUUGAACUCAAAGACCAGCUUGGUUGAACAUUCUUUUCACCAGAGUAAGUCACACUAGUUCUCUGACUAUUAGGCUGAAGAACAACAGUAAGUGUUUGUUCAAGAAUGAUGCCUGGAUUCAUCCCCUCUGGACCAGAUUUAUUAGAGGUCAAAUGCAACCGCUGAGAAUGAUAAAAACUUUUAUAAAUUGAUGGCCUGUCCAUUAAUGCAGAAAGCCCAUCUUUGUCUCGACAAGGAAGGAGCUUCAACCAUGGAGUUAGGUUCUCAGUGCAAACAGCUUCACGGGGCAGCAUACCGUACCUUAUAUUGCCUGUAGCUGGCCGGAAGCUCCACUGAGGAGCUGAAUACAUUGUAGAGGACUCAAGGAAGUUAAUUGAAGCACAGAAAAGACCUGAAAGAGUGUGGGUUAAGUUCUUCCAAGUAGCAUCAACUUGGUCUUGAGGGACAUCAAAGACGGCCCACAGCUCAACUCCAGGAGGCUUAGCAUUGCUGCUCGAUAUGGGGUCAAAUCCACCCCACAGUUCAUAGUUCCAACGACCUUGUGUGAAAGACAAUUCCAUUUCCUUAAUCUGAAAUUUCUGUACCAGCUGAGAAAUGGCUUUGGGGAAGAGGUGAUGGUGGCGGCCAUUGGAAUUUGAGGAAGGAGCUGUGCUUUGGAAGUGGAAAUGCGCCAACACUUUCCGAUCAGGCAACGGCCUCAACAACAAUUCCUCAUAGAACUCUUCUCGUUCUUGGUCUAUGGUCGAUCCAAAGGAGAUUAUAGGAGUAAAGAUGUUGGAUACAAGUAAUAGAAAGAUAAAGAAGUGUGUCGAUUUUAGUGGAAUCGCCAUUACAUCGAUUGGUCUAAUGCUCAUAAGAGAAACGCGGUGCAAACAGCUUCCGCCAUUGCAGACCGGCUUUGAUUUGGUUCAAAGGCAGAGCUCGCAGAACUUCACUUCGCGAGCUUUUGGGCCG
RNAcentral lists this unclassified non-coding RNA (3972 nucleotides) under Hevea brasiliensis (rubber tree). Lineage: Eukaryota; Viridiplantae; Streptophyta; Magnoliopsida; Malpighiales; Euphorbiaceae. The record is from RNAcentral.